This 866-nucleotide long non-coding RNA is filed under the name Suricata suricatta (meerkat). RNAcentral describes it as "lncRNA (ENSSSUG00005016244.1)". Lineage: Eukaryota; Metazoa; Chordata; Mammalia; Carnivora; Herpestidae. The record is from RNAcentral.
CGUCCACCCACUUGGUUGGGGGAGCCGAGCUCUUUCGGCAGGACGUACUCGGGACUGGCAAGAGCCAGGGUGUGGGGCUCCCACAGCCUUCUUGAACUCUACGUGCAGUUAGACGGUGGAAGGAACAAAAGAUACUCCUCGUCUGUAAAAUGCCAUGAAAGCACCACGGCUGACGUAAGAAUCAGCUGUAUCCCGGCUUGGAAGAGUGGGUGCAAGGUAGGUGUGACAAAGAAGAGGAGCUUGAAACUGCCUCCUGUUCCAGCCUAAUCGGACAGCUGACAACUAUUUGCACUUGUCACCAAGACGCUCCGUGGCUACUACAUUCAGAGAAAAGAAUAAAUCCCGAGUUCACAGGCCUGCUGGGGAAGAGCGUCCUCUGAGCAGGCCGCCCUGCUUCCUUCACCAGAUAUUUACUGGCAUCACCAACUCUCUUCGUGAGAGGAUGGACAUUGUCGUCUACGUCAGGGAAGUCUUUGUGCAGAAGGCUGAAGGGACAAUUUCCAAGGACAAACACUUGCUGGGAGAACCAACUUCCCAAACUUCCUUCAUCUGUUAGUCGCUUGGUACCCAGUUGAUGCGUCUGUGAGACCGUUUUCAGCUGAAAACAGCACAGCAUUGGGAAAGGGAAAUAAAUCUUUCCCAAAUUCUCGUGUUACGCUGGUUAAGGGGGAGAAACCUGCCAAAAAGUUUCCUAAUGUUUAAAGGCUCCUGUCCAGUUUAAGGUGUUUGUUUUCAUCCGGAUAGGUUGGCGGCUGCUUUCUUUCUCUCUUGCUCAACUCUUCCUCCUGCAUUCCAUCAGAGUUCUUGUUUCCCAUCCAAAGGGCUUCACUCCUUUUCCAACAAUUCCUGUUUUCUAGUCCUCCAUC